CACGAGUCGAUGGGGGUUAC
RNAcentral lists this non-coding RNA (20 nucleotides) under Rattus norvegicus (Norway rat). Lineage: Eukaryota; Metazoa; Chordata; Mammalia; Rodentia; Muridae. The record is from RNAcentral.